AAUACUGAUAUGACCAUAAAUAUUUUUAUUAAAUGUGAAAAUACACGGGCAUAAAAAUAGUACCCAUAUUUGUAGACAUGUCUGAGACCCAUUUCAAAUAUUAGGUUCCUUUUUUAUUAAAACACUACAUUGAGAUGGAUUAAGUUACUUAGUCUUUUCUCAUUCAAAACAAACUAAAACCUCACAGCAAGAGUAAUAUUUUCACAAACAUCUCCAAUGUUUACCUCCUCCUUGCUCGGCUUUCCACUGCAGGUAAGUGUUUCAGCCACAGACAAGUGCAACAAAACCGGUUACUAUACACAAAGCCACGCAGUGGCUAAUUUUACUCUUAAAUCAAUCAUUCAGCAAAUGAGAUCAUCUGUAAACAAACAAAAAAAACCCCCAAAUAAUCCCACCUCUUAACGUCAUUUGAAAUUACAGGAUAAACUGCCACUAACAAAAAAGGAAUGAUCUGAUUUAGAAAAAGGAUAUUCGUUGUUGGCAAAUUAACAUUUGCCUUCUUCCUUCCUUUAUAAAUUUGGAAAAGUCAACUACAUUCAACAAAGUUGCGUGAACUUCUCUAGGUGAUACCAUUGCUGUGUGCUCAGUGAAAACUUUGCAACGCCCAUCACCAGGGCCGUGUCUGUAACCUCACCAGGGAGCCAUUUUAUGUAGUUUUUUCAUGGUAAAUGUCAAAGACAACUUCUGACCCAUUUAAAGGUGAAAUUUUUCAUCAUCCAUUGUGAGUAGAAAAUGGUAUCAAUUUCAAAUUGUGGUUUUAUUGGCUACCUUUUUUACCAAGUUAUGUUUUCUCUUAAACUGUGGGUAGUUUUAAAAUUCCAUUAUCAGGGCAACAAAAAUUUGUUUUCAUACCAAUACUUUAAAAAAGAUUUUUAAUACUGACUAAAGAGAAAGGCAUUGUAGAAUUAGUAGUACGUUACAUCUGAUUCACAUUAGUAAACUGUCAAGAUUUUUUUCAAGUUUUCAUCUAUUCAUGGUAAGAAAGCACAAACUUUCAGAACUGAGGAAUGAAUUAAAUUUUGUCUCCCGUUUUGGAACCUUUUCACAAUGCUUCUAGACUGAUGUGUCUAAUACUUCCUGCUGGGCAAAAUAUCCACAAAGUACAGACCACUGAUAACUCCACCCAUGAAGCUCACCAAAAAGGAAAGAAGAGCAGAAUACAACAGCUGUGGCUAGGGUACGCCUCUCUGAUUUCACUUUUCCUGAAAGAGCCAUAAAGGUUACCUGAUGGCCAGGCGCAGUGGCUCACGCCUGUAAUCCCAACACUUUGGAAGGCCAAGGCGGGCAGAUCACAAGGUCAGGAGAUCAAGACCAUCCUGGCUAACACAGUGAAACCCCAUUUCUACUAAAAAUACAAAAAUUAGCCAGGCAUGGUGGUGCGUGCCUAUAGUCCCAGCUACUUGGAGGCUGAGGCAGGAGAACUGCUUGAACCCGGGAGGUGUCCCUGCACUCCAGCCUGGGCAACAGAGCAAGAUUCUGUCUCAAAAAAAAAAAAAAAAAAAAAAAAAGGUUACCUGGCACCUGUAGUCCCCAAGGGAAAAUGAAAGUAGUAUGGUUUUACAGUGGAUAAUGCUACCCUACAGUGAGACAGGCAGGGGGAAUGACUAUCUCUUUACACACCCAGGCUGCUUCUCAGUCACACAUUAGGGUAAGCAGGAGUGACUGUCUCUCCGUUUGGGUGGACACCAGAAAACUGCCGACAGCCAUCAAGGCUGAAACUCAACAGUUGUUACUUUCUUCAUGAAUCAGCGAAACAACAGAUUGCAGAGAAUUCAUUUCCCUCCAUGGCACUGGCAUGUGGCACCAGAGCUGCUUCUCUCUCUUCACUGAAAACAGGCAAGUAACUGCAGGUCAGUUAAGAUGACUAAGUAAAUCCAUGAUAAGAAUUUAGGAGCUGAAACUAUGGUUGUUACAAGUGGAGAAAAAAUGAAAAUGCAAACAAGCCUCUGGGCAGCAGGUGGGAGGUGGCCAGGCCCCCACACAUCUCCUGUGCGGCCCUUGACCCCUUGUUGUUGGCAACUGUCGUGCUCUCCAAGUGGAAAGUGACAGCCACGUUGACAGACCACAGAGGUGCAAACACAUGCACACUAAAGAUUUCACAGCUACUCACAAGUGACGAGACUGACCACAUCGAAGCACAGUUGUCCCUAAGAACAUACAGCUCAAAAAUGUUCAUGUUCUCUUUAAGAAUACUGAAGUAUAACCAUCCUCAUGAAGAUUACAGCUCCUUCUUACACUUGUAGGCACUGACUUACUCUGCAAGGCUGUGAAGAGAAGAAUCUCAGCUCCAGUGUAGAAAAAUAAUACAGAAUACGUGAGCACUUCCACGGGUGAGCCUGCCUCAGACCACUUCCCUCCAGACAGCAUAAAGCAGAUGCAGGCUGCUCUGUCAGAAAUAGAACCAUUCCUUGCCUCCUUGCCGUUGCAAACCCAUUAACCAUAAAUCUGACAGGGAUAAGAACAGAUUUUUUCCUAUUAAAGCAACUCUUUGGUCAUGGACAAACUGAAAAGAUUUGAAAUUUUUUUUCAUUAGGGUCCCGGAACAAGAUUUCUUUGUUUUUAAUCUUUAAAAAAAUUAAGAAGAGCAGAAAAACAGUUGGUUUAAUUGAAGUGGAAUUUAAAUCUAAAUGGUCCGCCUGAGCUGAAGGGAUUGAACCCUUGCCAUGAGUUCCAGCUUCUGUGGAAAGGGUUGCCGCCGCCUCCUUGCUGGCUCUCUGCAUCCAAAGGAUCUUCUCCGUCGUCAAACUUCUUUCUCAUUUCUAGAAAGAAAUCAGAAAAUUAAGAACCAGAUAAUAUCUAAGGUAUAGGGGCAGGGGGAAUGUUUUCUUUGGGCAGAGGAGGGUGGGUGGGCUUGAGGAGCUACUUACUUUUCGGUUAUCAAGAGUUGUGCCUGACAUUCAAAUCCAGGCUCUCCCAUUCCCACCCUGAAGAAACAGACUAGAGAAAUUUGCCACAAGGAGGGUGAGGUUCAGGGUUGAUAAUAGGUAUUUAUUGAGAUUCAGGCCCCUAAAUCUCACUCCAGAAGAAGCCACCCAAGCUUGAUAACUACCCAAUGAAAUUAUUUGGAAAAAAAUAAUUCAAGAGAAACUUCCAAGAGUCUACAAUUCUAAUGAAACAGCCAGCUCACCACCCUAAUCCCCAAAAUAAAGUCUGUAAGGCAAUGACCUCAUCAAGCAUCUAAUGAGCAUUCUAGCACUAAGGCUCCUCAGACAUGAGGGGAGCGGGGCCUCCAUAACAUACAACUCCAGGAGGUUCACCUUUCCCUCCCAUGCAAUUGGUGCCCCCACAGCGGGGCCUCUGAGCCCCGAACAGAGAGAGAUCAAUGCAGAGACAUGGGAGAAGGCAAUAAAGAGGAAUAUUGCAGGGAUAGGAAGAAAGAGCUCAUGUCCUCAGAGUCAUUAGAAAAACCCUGGAAGACAACCUAGGCAAAUACUAUUCAGGACAUAGGUAUGAGCAAAGAUUGCUUUUGGUGUUUCCAUCAUGAAAUUGCAACAAAAGCAAAAAUUGACAAAUGAGAUCUAAUUAAACUAAAGAGCUUCUACACAGCAAAAGAAACUAUCAACAGAGUAAACAGACAACCUACAGAAUGGGAGAAAAUUUUUGCAAACUAUGCAACUGACAAAGGUCUACAAAGAACUUAAAUGUACAAGAAAACAACCCCAUUAAAAAGUGGGCAAAGGACAUGAACAGACACUUCUCAAAAGAAGACAUAUAUGCGGCCAACAAUCAUAUGAAAAAAAGCUCAACAUCACUGAUCACUAGAGCAAAUAAUUAGAUCAUUAUUGCAAAUAAAAAAUGGCUAUUAUUAAAAAGUAAAAAAAAUAGAUGCUGCCAAGGUUGUGGUGAAAAAGGAACGCUUAUACACUAUUGGUGGCAGUGUAAAUUCAUUCAGCCAUUGUGGAAGACAGUGUGGCAAUUCCUUAAAGAAAGAAAUACCAUUCAACUCAGCAAUCUCAUUACUGGGUAUACACCCAAAAGAAUAUAAAUUGUUCCAUUAUAAAGACACAUGCACAUAUCAGUUUAUUGCAGCUCUAUUCACAAUAGAAAAGACAUGGAAUCAACCUAAAUGCCCAUCAAUGAUAGACUGGAUAAAGAAAAUGUGGUACAUCUACACCAUGGAAUACUAUGCAGCCAUAAAAAAGAAUGAGAUCAUGUCCUCUUGCAGGGGCAUGGAUGGAGCUGGAGGCCACUAUCCUUAGCAAACUAAUGCAGGAACAGAAAACCAAAUACCACAUAUUCUCACAAGUGGGAGCUAAAUGAUGAGAACUCAUGGAUGCAUAAAGGGGAACAACACACACUGGGGCCUAUUGGAGGGUGAAGGGUGGGAGGAGGGAGAGGAUCAGGAAUAAUAACUAAUGGGUUCUAGACUUAAUACCUGGGUGAUGAAAUAAUCUGUACAACAAACCCCCAUAACACACAUUUACCUAUGUAACAAACCUGCACAUGUACCCCUGAACUUACAAAAAAAAAAUAAAAAGACUUAGCAUAUAGCUAGGUUUUUUAAUAAAUGGAAAAUAGAGAAUGCAGAAAAAAAUGCAAAUAUAAAAAUAAUCCCAAGUCUCGCUUUGCUCUCUCACAGUAACUUGUCCUUUAGGGGUUCAAAGAUACUUAGAGAAAAGCCAGUUUACUUCAUUCUGGGAGGUUAAUCUGAAGCCACAUAUUUAGGAGGAGGAAACCCACCAGUAAAACUGAGGGUUCUUAUGCUGAGUGUUAAUAACUAAGCGGGUAUUGUAGGUGAUCUGAAACUCAGCUUUGUUUUAUAAAAGCUAAUGCAGUUAGACUCAGGCCCCAUAUCUUUGAUAUCUCACAGGCAAAAUUAAUCUAGGGUGUUAGCACUUAGAACAGUAGUGAACUCUCCGUAGGGGUGGGGGUGAUAAUGGCCCCAGAGAAAGGAUGCUGUGAAUGGAAGGGGAAGUGAAUUCAGCUAUAUUCACAUUAUGUAAUUACUUAAAAAUUCAGUGGAGUGGUCUGCAUACAUCUCAAAGAAUGAGGUAACCAUUUUUCAAUGAGAAAAAACUAUAGCCAAGAUUUAUUUCAAGUGAAAAUUAAGUUUCAGAUUGGCAUACAUCAUGUGAUUCUACUAAACAUAUUCCUAAAUAUGACACGUCUUGAUAUAUGCAUAGUAAAAAACUUUAAAGUCUUUAAAAGAAAAGAUAGUUCAUCCUGAACAGAAGAACAGGAGGUAAGAAAAAGGACCUGCAGCUCUUUCCUCAGUGCAUGCCUCUGUGCAGGGACACCCAUCCCCUUGGUUGGCUCCCUGGUACCUUAAAACGUAGCACAAAGUCCCUCUCACAUAAGAAGAUCCUGACUCCCAGUCUGAUACACUAUCACACCUGUGCACUGCACAAACUAAGAGGAUUGAACUGCUUAAGGCAGGUUGUAGCCACUCAGUAUUUGCUAAGUAACAGGACAGUAUGUAUCCAACACUACUUGAUAAGGGAAGUACAUUUCUGUCUCCUUUACUGGAUUAUAAAUUACUUGAAAACGAAGGAUCAUUUACUUUCAAUUCCACUGCAAGUACAUUUCUGUCUCCUUUACUGGAUUAUAAAUUACUUGAAAACAAAGGAUCAUUUACUUUCAAUUCCACUGCAUAAGUAAGUACUCAAAAAAGAUUUGACAAACAUAAAACUUUCCUCUCUUUUGUUUGUUUAGCUCAGAUCACAGCUGCUGUUCCCACUGACAUGGAAGGCCACAAAAAAGCAGUAUAAGCUUAACAUGAAAUUCUCUGGCAGCAGCAAAGCAUUGUUCAGUAUUACCUCAAUGCUUAGCCUGUCUCCCUCUUAACGAAAUUUCCAGGCCAUAUUACUGUAUGGCAAAAGAACACAUGUGGCCAGGUGCAGAGGCUCACACCUGUAAUCUCAGAACUUUGGGAAGAUCACUUUAGCCCAGGAGUUAAAGACCAGCCUGGGCAACACAGUGAGAUCCCAUUUCUACAAAAAAUAAAAAUUAAAAAAAAAAAAAACACAUAUAAGCCUGUGAAUCUAAUGAUCCUAUGAUUCAGGGCAAGAUUCCUGGUGAACACAUAUGGGGCAAAGCAGGCCCUAGGCCAGACAGCUGUUCUUCUCCCACUCCAUGUAAUCCAGCCUGGCAAGCUGGUUUCCUCAUCAAGCUCCUGUAAGCUUGGUGGAGAAAAUUCAUCAUUGACCUUUGAGGUUAGAGGGAACCUGAGAGAUCCUCUUAUGCUCAGUGUUGAAAAAACUGAGACCAAAAAGUUCUGAUAACUUCUUUGAGUAGAAAAAAGAUUCAAAUUCAGGCCCUCUGAUUCCACAUUUGAUAGUCUUUCCACUGUACCCUGCAACAGGAGGGUGCCCAACAUAAGAGGGCUGAAUGAGGGCAGGCAUAAAACUGGACCUCUGGAACUGGGCUCAGGACCCGUCACUGCCUAUACAGCCCCACGUGGAGAACCCACCACAUGUUCCACCCUCGCUUCUAACACCACCUCUAGGAUGAGUCAAAGGAAUAAAAGCUAAUAAUACCUGGAUCAGAGAGGACUUCUUUAGCAGCUGCUAUAUCAAUGAACUUUUUCUCAGCUUUUUUCUUUUCUUCUUCAUUCUGGAAGUUAUCUGGGUGCCACUGCAGUGCUAAUUUUCGGUAUGCUUUAAUAAUUUCUUGCUUUUUGGCAUUUCUGAGGGGUGGUAAAAUAAAUAAUCAUUAGUGGAAAAGUGUCUAACAUACUAUCAUAAAAAUCAGAAGAGCUGAUUAAGAUCCUACUGGCAAUUAACAAAACUGGUUUUAUAAAAUAGUUCCAAUGGUAUCACAGGCCAAAGAUCUGCAUACACAGUUCUGGAUGAUCAUUAAAGCUGACAUCAGGCUUCCUUGGAUACUCGCUCACUAAGAUUACUGAGAAUAAAGCACUCCUGAUCUUUAGAACUUUCCCUUUUUUAAAAAAGGUACAUCAAUGAAUUUUUUAACUUUCUGAAUUUCCAAGUUACCAUAAUUCAAUUCUUGGUAUUAAAAAAUAUUUGACUCUGAAUGCCACUUUCAAUUAUGCUUCUGCAUUAGCUUACUUAAUAGUAAGCACAAAGAUUCCAAAUUUUGAAAAAUUGAUGGUUUACUCAGCGAACCACUGGGAGGUAUAUCAUUUACUUAAUUUCAGAAUUCACCCACAGGCACUGGGAGGUGUAUCAUUUACUUAGUAUGUACUUUUAUAUAAGGUAGAUCUUAAUUUCAGACUUAAUUCUGAAAGCACUACUUUAUUUUUAG
This 7203-nucleotide long non-coding RNA is filed under the name Homo sapiens (human). RNAcentral's name for it is "HSALNT0205583". The record is from RNAcentral. Lineage: Eukaryota; Metazoa; Chordata; Mammalia; Primates; Hominidae.